Molecule: long non-coding RNA, 1130 nt
Filed under: Vitis vinifera (wine grape)
Lineage: Eukaryota; Viridiplantae; Streptophyta; Magnoliopsida; Vitales; Vitaceae
Description: long non-coding RNA (VVIN_LNC002094)
Rfam family: Small nucleolar RNA Z102/R77 (bases 551-637)
Source: RNAcentral
CUCGGACGGAUCUGGCUGAACUCUCUCGCUUUCUUCGCAAGGCGAAAAUGCUAGGCAGCCGUCAACAUUGUCGACUCGCCCUUGGUUACUAAUUUCGAUUAUUUUCUUCUGAUUUGAUUUGAUUUCUUGGUGAUGUUUUUGUGUUUUUGUUUUCGGAAACCUUUGGUUAGAUUAAUUUCUUUUUGUUUGAUUUCAUUUUUUGGUUAGCUUUUUGUGUUUUGUUUUCGAAAACCUUUUUGUUUUUUUAUGUAGAAGGAGAAUGAAAGGAUGAUUAUAUGUUUCCCUAUUGGUUUGAUCGCCGAGAUGAUGGCGAAUCUUUUGUAUUAGCUCUAUCUGAUUAUUCUCUUUAUUUUUUCGUUCUUGAUUUUUUUUUUUUCUGAAAAAUGGGAAUGCAAUUAGAUUUAAAAGACAGUAUUUGAGGGUGGAUCAUGAAUGCCAUUCGUCAGAUUGGCCAGAUGUAAUAGCUUUUUCGCAAUAGUAAUCCUCUGGUAAUACAGAAGAUUAUUGUUAUUAUUUUGUUUUUUAGUUUUAAUUUUUUUUAAGGAGGAGAGAAUGAUAUGAUGAAUGAAUUUGUUUCCCUAUUGGUUUGAUCGCCGGGAUGAUGGCGACAAAUAGUAUUAGCUCUAUCUGAUCAUUCUGUUCCUCCCUCUUGCGAUUUUUCAAUGUCUUAAAUGUUAAUAAAUCUUCGUUUCAAAAACCUAAUCGAGCUUUUCGGUCCUCUUUCGUUUUCAUCAAUUAUUUUUAUUUUUAUUUUUUGAUCACAUCCAUCCAUUUUUGUAUGGUUUUUUUUUAUGACAUCCAUAUGUAACAAGCCAAAUUUCAUCCCUUAUCCGAGUUACAACUAUUAAUCGAAUGACGAACGGCAUGUUGCAAUUAAUUAUUUUCAAAUUAUAAUUAAUACUAUACAAAAUUGUUUAAAGCAAGAAUAAGUAUGAUAUUUUUCAUCCUAAAAUAUCUUUGAAUUAGUAUUAAGUACACUGAUUCUCAAUAUAUAUAUAUAUUUCGAAGAAUACUGUAUGCAUUAUUAUUUGUUUCUUUAUUCUCAAAGUUUCAUUAAAAGUUUUUAUCUUUUCUUAUCAAUUUUGUGUACAAUUAUUUGUAUGCUAUCAAUAUUUUCCUAAAGUUCACAG